GGACUACUAGGGUAUCUAAUCCCAUUCGCUACCCACGCUUUCGUCCUAGCAGUGUCAGGAGGCACCCAGUGAUCUGCCUUCGCUUUCGGUGUUCCGAAUGAUAUCAACGCAUUUCACUACUACACCAUUCGUUCCAAUCACCUCUUUGCCCCUCUAGUUUCGCAGUAUCUUAAGCAAACUCCGAAGUUGAGCUUCGGGCUUUUACCCAAGACUAACAAAACCACCUAUCGGUACGCUUUACGCCCAAUGAUUCCGGAUAACGCUUGAGGUCUCUGUAUUACCGCGGCUGCUGGCAC
This 296-nucleotide ribosomal RNA is filed under the name uncultured bacterium. Its description in RNAcentral is "partial 16S ribosomal RNA". The record is from RNAcentral.